GAUGAACGCUAGCGGCGGGCCUAAUACAUGCAAGUCGAACGGGAAAGGUGGCAACACCUUGAGAGUGGCGUACGGGUGCGUAACGCGUAUACAACCUGCCUGUUACACGGGGAUAGCCUUGCGAAAGCGAGAUUAAUACCCGAUGGUACUAUUGAGCGGCAUCGCUUGGUAGUUAAAGCUGAGGCGGUAACAGAGGGGUAUGCGUCCCAUUAGCUAGUUGGUAGUGUAACGGACUACCAAGGCGACGAUGGGUAGGGGUUCUGAGAGGAUGAUCCCCCACACUGGUACUGAGAUACGGCCCAGACUCCUACGGGCGGCAGCAGUAGGGAAUAUUGGGCCAUGGACGGAAGUCUGCCCCAGCCACGCCGCGUGCAGGAAGAAGGUCCUCUGGAUUGUAGACUGCUUUUCUUGGGGAAGAAAACCCUUCUGCGGAAGGAAUUGACGGUACUCAAGGAAUAAGCAUCGGCUAACUCCGUG
Molecule: ribosomal RNA, 477 nt
Filed under: uncultured bacterium
Lineage: Bacteria
Description: partial 16S ribosomal RNA
Rfam family: Bacterial small subunit ribosomal RNA
Source: RNAcentral